Panaeolus papilionaceus is the source of this 86-nucleotide non-coding RNA. The record is from the annotation of a GenBank genome assembly. Lineage: Eukaryota; Fungi; Basidiomycota; Agaricomycetes; Agaricales.
GGGCUUUUGGCACAGUGGUAGCGCGCACGCUUCGCAUGAUUUAAUGUUUCUGCGUGAGGACCAGGGUUCAAUCCCCUGAAAGUCCA